RNAcentral lists this long non-coding RNA (725 nucleotides) under Rattus norvegicus (Norway rat). RNAcentral describes it as "long non-coding RNA NONRATT004085". Lineage: Eukaryota; Metazoa; Chordata; Mammalia; Rodentia; Muridae. The record is from RNAcentral.
CCCAGUAUCAGCCCAUGCUGUAGCCCUGGUGCAGAUGGAACGGCUCCAGGUAGACCAUACUGCCCCAGUCCCUCACCCCUGCCCCGAUUGUCUCCAAAGAGGCAAAAGGGAGCUGGCAAAGUUGAAGGAGAUGUCGCCUCUACCAUUCCUCACACAGACGUUUGCCUUCUCUGUGUGCUGGUCAGACAACAGUGACACCUUUGCUCGCAGGAGCUGGGAGGAGUUUAGGCAGCUCCAGACCCUUAAGAAAAUCUUCCCAGUGGAGGCAGGCCUGCUUCAGAGAUCUGAACGAGUUCUUCCCAAGCUUCCUGAUGCUCCAUUGUUGACACGUCGGGGACAUACUGGCCGAGGCCUGUUACGUUUGCGGCUGCUGGAAACCUAUGUACGGUCACUGCUGGCAACCUCACAGCACAUAGUGACGAGCUCAAGCUCCCAGACAGUGGUGGGGCAGACAAGGUGACUGAGGGCAGGACUGUUCCCCCUGUAGUACCAACUCGCCCCUGUAUGAGUGCCAUCCAGAGCAGAUGCUGCUCCAUCACCCGCAGGGCAGUGGGACAGGAACAACGGACCCAAGUUCCCCCUUGAGGAUUUGUAUGGCCCUGCAGAGAGGCUGUACUGUCAAAGCCAACCUCAAGCAAAGCAGGGACGAGGGUGUGGCUCUAUGACUGGCAGGGCCAUGGGCCAGUCAACUUUCUAUUUCCUCUAAAUAAAACUGGAAUGACUUC